GCAGAUGAGGAGGUAUCUGACCCAAAGGCACUCCUAGAGGAUCGUACGAAGGCUAAGUGUGUCUACCAGUGGUAUGAAUAUCAGAAAUGCGUUAAGAGAAUUGAAGGUGAUGAGACCGGGCAGAAGCACUGUACUGGCCAGUACUUCGAUUACUGGAAAUGCAUCGACAAGCAUGUUGCUGAGAAGCUCUUUGAUAGCUUAAAAUGA
Molecule: ribosomal RNA, 207 nt
Filed under: Triticum aestivum (bread wheat)
Lineage: Eukaryota; Viridiplantae; Streptophyta; Magnoliopsida; Poales; Poaceae
Description: partial small subunit ribosomal RNA
Source: RNAcentral